RNAcentral lists this ribosomal RNA (460 nucleotides) under uncultured bacterium. RNAcentral describes it as "partial 16S ribosomal RNA". It matches the Rfam family "Bacterial small subunit ribosomal RNA", at positions 338 to 795 of the family's 1533-position model. The record is from RNAcentral.
CCUACGGGUGGCAGCAGUGAGGAAUAUUGGUCAAUGGGCGGAAGCCUGAACCAGCCAAGUAGCGUGCAGGAUGACGGUCCUACGGGUUGUAAACUUCUUUUAUCCGGGAAUAAAGCGCCUCACGUGUACGUCUUUGCAUGUACCGUAUGAAUAAGGACCGGCUAAGUCCGUGCCAGCAGCCGCGGUAAUACGGAAGGUCCGGGCGUUAUCCGGAUUUCUUGGGUUUAAAGGGAGCGUAGGCCGCAUGUUAAGCGUGCUGUGAAAGGCCCGGGCUCAACCCGGGCCUUGCAGCGCGACCGGGCGGGCUUGAGUGCGCGGAAGGCAGGCGGAAUUCGUAGUGUAGCGGUGAAAUGCUUAGAUAUGACGAAGAACCCCGAUUGCGAAGGCAGCUUGCUGCAGCGGAACUGACGCUGAGGCACGAAAGCGCGGGUAUCGAACAGGAUUAGAUACCCUUGUAGUC